UGUGACGUCACAGUAGAAAGCCUUCAUAAACGAGACGCUUAGAAUGUUUCACUCACUGUCACUGUUCGCAUCGGAGACGCUCUCUCGACGUCGUGUACCUACGGAUCACUUUCACAGAUUUGCACAACGAGGGCUUUAGGCGAGUGGAAAGUGCGAAAUAUCUACAAUAACAAGACAAGCAGGCAUGAGACAACAACAGAUGCCAGAAGAGUCACCAACUAGUAAGAUUUGACAAAUAAGUUGUAAGAAAAGUUAUAGUUAAAGGUACACUAUGUAACUUUUUGUUCAAAAUGUGCAGAAUUUAUAUAAUGAGCGAGUCCGUCAUGAAUCCAUCUUCCAAAACCAUGUUUUUGUCUAAAUCUGAAUCACUGCGAUACGCCUAUAAUAAGAUGGGCUAUGCACAGACAUUUUGAGGGGCAGGUGCUUAAGUGAGAAAAAAUGCCAACCCUCUUAUAAUUAAUUAAUUACUAUAAAAACAUUUUAAACAGUUUUUACAUACACUAGUAGUUACAUUUAAUUUAGAAGAACACUUAAAUUACUUUAAUACAUAUUUCUUUAUUUAAAUAUAAUAAUCCUUUGUUGGCAUUAUGCUGGAAUUGAUAAAUGAGUGAAAUCAAUGUGCAUUAGUGACAGAAAUUAUUAUUUAUUAUUAUUACUAUUAUUAUACUAUUGUUAUUUAGAUACACUGCAAUUACAGUUGCAAGAAUAAUGUUAUGAAAUUAGUGAUUUAAAUGUAAAAAGUUGUUACAUAGUGUACCUUUACUUUUGAAAAACACAUUUAAAUAAUGUAAACACAAUCAAAUAAUUUGAACAAGUUAGCUGCAUUUACAUGGACCCGAAUAAUCAGUUUGUAACUGGACUAGCAUAACCACAUCAAUCGGAAUGAAUUAGCCAAAUCCAAUUUAAUCUAAAAUUCUCCUUCCACUCAUUGUCUGUAAAGUGGUGGAGGAUAACGUCCCACCAGUCCUUUGCUUCGGACUCUCAUUCACAGUUGGUGCCUUGUUUUGGGCACAGGAAGGGGACAUAAACUGCUUGAUGAAAAUAAGCAGCAUGGCACGAAGCUUAAUGUGCUCGUCGUCUCCUAAUUAGGACCCGAAAUAGAUAAAUAUUAAGUGUGCUUUUUAAAACAAAGAAAAGAAACAAUGAUAGAAAGAAGAUUAGUAUUUGCCAACAGGGGGAAAUCUGUUUAAUCAUGCGGUGUGUGCACGUCAAAAGAUCAAUUCUGAUUUAAAUGUGAACACCAACCCAAUCACUUUAUUUAGCGAUCAUGUAAAUACUGGGUUUGGAUUCAUCAACUGGAAUUAUUUAAUUACAAUUGAAACAAAAGUUGUCAGUGUAAAUGCAGCUAUUGACCAAAAUGACAAACACAUUGCAUUCUGCGCAUUACACACCUUGGCCAGUUGGAUAUUUUGUCAAAGCUAUCAGUUCACCCCAAGUCAGCACUUGGAGAUAGGACUAGGGUGUGUCCUGUAAGGCUGUGGUGGGUGGGACACAGGCCACACCCUAGGUUGCCAAAAAAAAAAACCAACAACAACGUCGAACGUAAAAAAAAAAAAAAGAAAAGCUAAAUGACAUCUGAUCUGAAAUAGUUAAAUUCAUAAUGAAACACAGUCAAAAACAUUUCAAAAUGACGUAGCAAAUCUAAUGCCCAGAUAUAAUUAUUCUAAAAUACGACAUCUGUGAUGAAUUGGCCUUUUUGUCGUAUUGGUUCCUAGCUCUAGUGCAGCACUCUGGGCGGGACUGACCAGCUACGUGCCGAAAGCGCAGUCUGUUGUAGACUGCAUCCAGAAAACCCUUAACCGCCUUUUAAGGGCCUGGCAAAGCUAUGAGUUCACCCCAAGUCAGCACUUGGAGAUAGGACUAGGGUGUGUCCUGUAAGGCCGUGGUGGGUGGGACACAGGCCACACCCUAGGAUGCCAAAAAAAAAACAAAAAAAAACAACAACGUCGAACGUUAAAAAAAAAAAAAGCUAAAUGACAUCUGAUCUGAAAUAGUUGAAUUCAUAAUGAAACACUGUCAAAAACAUUUCUAAAUGACGUAGCAAAUCUAAUGCCCAGAUAUAAUUAUUUUAAAAUACGAAAUCGGUGAUGAAUUGGCCUUUUUGACGUAUUGGUUCCUAGCUCUGGUGCAGCACUCUGGGCGGGACUGACCAGCUACGUGCCGAAAGCGCAGUAUGUUGUAGACUGCAUCCAGAAAACCCUCAACCAACUUGUUAAGGGCCUGGCAAAGCUAUCAGUUCACCCCAAGUCAGCAUUUGGAGAUAGAACUAGGGUGUGUCCUGUAAGGCCGUGGUGGGUGGGAAACAGGCCACACCCUGGGAUGCCAAAAAAAACAAAAACAACGUCGAACGUUAAAAAAAAAGAAAAGCUAAAUGACAUCUGAUCUGAAAUAGUUAAAUUUAUAAUGAAAAACAGUCAAAAACAUUUCUAAAUGACGUAGCAAAACUAAUGCCCAGAUAUAAUUAUUUUAAAAUGCGAAAUCUGUGAUGAAUUGGCCUUUUUGUCGUGUUGGUUCCUAGCUCUGGUGCAGCACUCUGGGCGGGACUGACCAGCUACGUGCCGAAAGCGCAGUCUGUUGUAGACUGCAUCCAGAAAACCCUCAACUAACUUGUUAAGGGCCUGGCAAAGCUAUCAGUUCACCCCAAGUCAGCAUUUGGAGAUAGGACUAGGGUGUAUCCUGUAAGGCUGUGGUGGGUGGGACACAGGCCACACCCUAGGUUGCCAAAAAAAAAAAAAAAAAAAAAAACGAUGACGAACUAAAAAAAAAAAAGGUAACUGAAAUCCGAAGUAGUUAAAUUCAUAAUGAAACACUGUCAAAAACAUUACGAAAUGACGUAGCAAAACUAAUGCCCAGAUAUAAUUAUUUUAAAAUGCGAAAUCUGUGAUGAAUUGGCCUUUUUGUCGUGUUGGUUCCUAGCUCUGGUGCAGCACUCUGGGCGGGACUGACCAGCUACGUGCCGAAAGCGCAGUCUGUUGUAGACUGCAUCCAGAAAACCCUUAACCGCCUUUUAAGGGCCUGGCAAAGCUAUCAGUUCACCCCAAGUCAGCACUUGGAGAUAGGACUAGGGUGUGUCCUGUAAGGCCGUGGUGGGUGGGACACAGGCCACACCCUAGGUUGCCAAAAAAAAAAAAAAAAAAAAAAGUUGAACGUUAAAAAAAAAAAAGAAAA
Molecule: long non-coding RNA, 3168 nt
Organism: Megalobrama amblycephala (Wuchang bream)
Lineage: Eukaryota; Metazoa; Chordata; Actinopteri; Cypriniformes; Xenocyprididae
Exons: 2
Source: RefSeq, a predicted model, not a curated record